RNAcentral lists this unclassified non-coding RNA (358 nucleotides) under soil metagenome. RNAcentral's name for it is "partial contains 5.8S ribosomal RNA, internal transcribed spacer 2, and large subunit ribosomal RNA". The stretch from base 1 to 120 matches the Rfam family "5.8S ribosomal RNA", at positions 35 to 154 of the family's 154-position model. The record is from RNAcentral.
GAUGAAGAACGCAGCGAAAUGCGAUAAGUAAUGUGAAUUGCAGAAUUCAGUGAAUCAUCGAAUCUUUGAACGCACAUUGCGCCCGUCAGUAUUCUGGCGGGCAUGCCUGUUCGAGCGUCAUUACGCCCCUCAAGUCCCCUGUGGACUUGGUGUUGGGGAUCGGCGAGGCUGGUUUUCCAGCACAGCCGUCCCUUAAAUUAAUUGGCGGUCUCGCCGUGGCCCUCCUCUGCGCAGUAGUAAAACACUCGCAACAGGAGCCCGGCGCGGUCCACUGCCGUAAAACCCCCCAACUUUUUAUAGUUGACCUCGAAUCAGGUAGGACUACCCGAUGAACUUAAGCAUAUCAAUAAGCGGAGGA